RNAcentral lists this non-coding RNA (805 nucleotides) under Cryptotermes domesticus. Lineage: Eukaryota; Metazoa; Arthropoda; Insecta; Blattodea; Kalotermitidae. The record is from RNAcentral.
GGAUAGUUUUAUUCUUGCUAUUUUGUUCAGUGUUGUCUUGUUUUAUAUGUAGGUUCUUGCGGGUUUUUAUGAUUUUCUUGAUGGAAUGUUUAUGUUUGUUUUUGUAAAUCUCAUUAAUUGGUUUUAUAAAUCCUGGCUACUUGGAUUUAGUAAUGAUUUUUGGUACUGGUUAAGUUUGUGCCAGCAGCCGCGGUUAUACAUUAAGUGCAAUUGAACAUUUUCGGUUUUUGCAGUUUUAUUUUUAUUUGGUUGGUUUUUAAUUGAUGUUUCUUAGUAGUUGGGUGAAAUUUUUAUUUUUGUUUAUUGCCGUAUUCUUUUUUGUAGGCUGUGAAAUCUUUCUUGUAGACUAGGAUUAGAUACCCUAUUAUUUUUGAUGUUAAUUAUCUUUUUCCUGGGUAGUAUUAGUUAUGUUCUUGAAACCCAAAGGAUUUGGCGGUAUUCUACUCCUUCCAGAGGAAUCUGCCCCUUAAUCGAUAAUCCGCGCUGGACCUUUCUUAAUUUUUGUUUGUAUACCGCCGUUAUAAUGAGGAUUUUUUUAGGGUUAUUCAAUUUUCUAGUUUCAUUAUUUUGAUUUAUUUCAGGUCAAGGUGCAAUUUGUUUUUAAGUGUGAGGUGGAUUACAAUAUGUUUAUGAAUUUUCGGAUUAUUAAUUGGAAUUUUUAUAUGAAGUUGGAUUUGGUGGUAAUUUGUUGAAGAUUGUUUGAAUGAUAUUGGUUCUAGGAUAUGUACACAUCGCCCGUCGCUCUCAUUUUUAUUGAGAUAAGUCGUAACAUAGUGGUCGUACCGGAAGGUGUGGCUAGAUUGAU